This 294-nucleotide unclassified non-coding RNA is filed under the name Hevea brasiliensis (rubber tree). The record is from RNAcentral. Lineage: Eukaryota; Viridiplantae; Streptophyta; Magnoliopsida; Malpighiales; Euphorbiaceae.
CGCUUCUCAAUUCUAAUCUUCUCCAUCCUUCUCCUCUUACGUUUUCUUUGUAUUAUUAUAUAGCAAACUUUUCUUAUACUCAAGGUAGUUGCUGUCGUAAGAUCAAGAAGAACAAGAGAGGAGCACUAAUUUCUAACUAGAUUUCUAGCUAAAUUUUGUUAAUUGUUCGAACCCAAUUCUAAAGAGAAACUUCAGAUUAUAUGUGUAUAAAUAUAAUCACAAUUAAGACAUAUUAGAAUGAGGAGAUUAUAAAGUAAAAAACUAUACGGCUGUCGUAGUAGUAGCAGCAGCGGG